This 292-nucleotide ribosomal RNA is filed under the name uncultured Acidobacteriota bacterium. Its description in RNAcentral is "uncultured Acidobacteria bacterium partial 16S ribosomal RNA". Lineage: Bacteria; Pseudomonadati; Acidobacteriota. The record is from RNAcentral.
GGACUACAGGGGUAUCUAAUCCCGUUUGCUCCCCACGCUUUCGCGCCUCAGCGUCAGUACCAGUCCAGUGAGCCGCCUUCGCCACUGGUGUUCCUCCCAAUAUCUACGCAUUUCACCGCUACACUGGGAAUUCCACUCACCUCUCCUGGUCUCAAGCCAAGCAGUUUGGGAGGCAGUUCCUCGGUUAAGCCGAGGGAUUUCACCUUCCACUUGCCAGGCCGCCUACGCGCCCUUUACGCCCAAUAAUUCCGAAUAACGCUUGCCCCCUCUGUAUUACCGCGGCUGCUGGCAC